GAUGAACGCUAGCUACAGGCUUAACACAUGCAAGUCGCGGGGCAGCAUGGGGGUUGCUUGCAAUCCCCGAUGGCGACCGGCGCACGGGUGAGUAACGCGUAUCCAACCUGCCCUUCACCACGGGAUAACCCGGCGAAAGUCGGACUAAUACCGUAUGUUGUCCAUUGACGGCAUCCGAUUUGGACGAAAGGCUUGGCGGUGAGGGAUGGGGAUGCGUCCGAUUAGCCAGACGGCGGGGUAACGGCCCACCGUGGCUACGAUCGGUAGGGGUUCUGAGAGGAAGGACCCCCACACUGGAACUGAGACACGGUCCAGACUCCUACGGGAGGCAGCAGUGAGGAAUAUUGGUCAAUGGGCGUAAGCCUGAACCAGCCAAGUAGCGUGCAGGUUGACGGCCCUAUGGGUUGUAAACUGCUUUUAUGCGGGGAUAAAGUGGCCCACGUGUGGGCUUUUGCAGGUACCGCAUGAAUAAGGACCGGCUAAUUCCGUG
RNAcentral lists this ribosomal RNA (490 nucleotides) under uncultured bacterium. RNAcentral's name for it is "partial 16S ribosomal RNA". It matches the Rfam family "Bacterial small subunit ribosomal RNA", at positions 28 to 507 of the family's 1533-position model. The record is from RNAcentral.